Molecule: long non-coding RNA, 353 nt
Organism: Myotis lucifugus (little brown bat)
Lineage: Eukaryota; Metazoa; Chordata; Mammalia; Chiroptera; Vespertilionidae
Exons: 4
Source: RefSeq, a predicted model, not a curated record
AAGAUGUCGACGCUGGUCCUGCACAAUCUGCGGAGGACCCUGCGAGCUUGCAAUCUGAUGCACCCCAAGAGACAACCAUAGCAGCCCAGACUUCGGCGGCAGCCCAGGAGCCAACCACCAAGCAAAGAAAAAAUCUGGAAUCCGUGAUAGAGAAAGGUAGAUCGGACAUAAAAGAUGUCAUUGCAAGAGAAAAAAAAAAGGUGGAGGAAAGAAUUCAAAAGGCUAAAGAUGAUCUGAAGGAGAGGUUGGGUCCAAUCAGAUCUAUCAUUUGAGAAGCUGUAAAGAAUGGGAUCUGGGAACUUAACGCCUUAAUCAUGUGUACGGCUCAGAGCAAUUAAAUUGAAAGCAUUCAA